Molecule: ribosomal RNA, 253 nt
Filed under: uncultured bacterium
Lineage: Bacteria
Description: partial 16S ribosomal RNA
Rfam family: Bacterial small subunit ribosomal RNA
Source: RNAcentral
UACGAAGGGGGCUAGCGUUGCUCGGAAUCACUGGGCGUAAAGCGCACGUAGGCGGAUUGUUAAGUCAGGGGUGAAAUCCUGGAGCUCAACUCCAGAACUGCCUUUGAUACUGGCGAUCUCGAGUCCGGGAGAGGUGAGUGGAACUGCGAGUGUAGAGGUGAAAUUCGUAGAUAUUCGCAAGAACACCAGUGGCGAAGGCGGCUCACUGGCCCGGUACUGACGCUGAGAAGCGAAAGCAUGGGGAGCGAACAGG